GAUGAACGCUGGCGGCGUGCCUAAUACAUGCAAGUCGAGCGAACAGACGAGGAGCUUGCUCCUCUGACGUUAGCGGCGGACGGGUGAGUAACACGUGGAUAACCUACCUAUAAGACUGGGAUAACUUCGGGAAACCGGAGCUAAUACCGGAUAAUAUAUUGAACCGCAUGGUUCAAUAGUGAAAGACGGUUUUGCUGUCACUUAUAGAUGGAUCCGCGCCGCAUUAGCUAGUUGGUAAGUUAACGGCUUACCAAGGCAACGAUGCGUAGCCGACCUGAGGGGGGGAUCGGCCACACGGGAACUGAGACACGGUCCAGACUCCUACGGGAGGCAGCAGUAGGGAAUCUUCCGCAAUGGGCGAAAGCUUGACGGAGCAACGCCGCGUGAGUGAUGAAGGUCUUCGGAUCGUAAAACUCUGUUAUUAGGGAAGAACAAAUGUGUAAGUAACUAUGCACGUCGUGACGGUACCUAAUCAGAAAGCCACGGCUAACUACGUG
Molecule: ribosomal RNA, 497 nt
Filed under: uncultured bacterium
Lineage: Bacteria
Description: partial 16S ribosomal RNA
Rfam family: Bacterial small subunit ribosomal RNA
Source: RNAcentral